RNAcentral lists this ribosomal RNA (124 nucleotides) under Macrococcus lamae. Its description in RNAcentral is "partial 16S ribosomal RNA". It matches the Rfam family "Bacterial small subunit ribosomal RNA", at positions 1419 to 1533 of the family's 1533-position model. Lineage: Bacteria; Bacillati; Bacillota; Bacilli; Caryophanales; Staphylococcaceae. The record is from RNAcentral.
ACCCGAAGCCGGUGGAGUAACCUUUUCAGGAGCUAGCCGUCGAAGGUGGGACAGAUGAUUGGGGUGAAGUCGUAACAAGGUAGCCGUAUCGGAAGGUGCGGCUGGAUCACCUCCUUUCUAAGGA